Molecule: ribosomal RNA, 486 nt
Filed under: Dactylogyrus alatus
Lineage: Eukaryota; Metazoa; Platyhelminthes; Monogenea; Dactylogyridea; Dactylogyridae
Description: bacterial SSU rRNA
Rfam family: Eukaryotic small subunit ribosomal RNA
Source: RNAcentral
UUUUUAUGUGGACCUCUGUCCUUGUGCUCUGGUACUUGGAUAGAACCACAUAAGCAGGUGAAACUUCUUAGAGGAACUGGCGCUCGAAAAGGCGCACGAGAAAGAGCAAUAACAGGUCUGUGAUGCCCUAAGAUGUCCGGGGCCGCACGCGUGCUACAAUGACGAUGCUACUGAGCAUGAUUAACUUGUCCGAAAGGAUCGGUGAAACUGUUCAAUCAUCGUCGUGACUGGGAUUGGGGUUUGCAAUUGUCCCCCAUGAACCAGGAAUUCCUAGUAAGCACAAGUCAUAAGCUUGUGCUGAUUACGUCCCUGCCCUUUGUACACACCGCCCGUCGCUACUACCGAUUGAAUGGUUUAGCAAGGACAUUGGAUUGAGCCCUUGCGGUUUCGGCUGCUUGGGUUUGAGAAGAUGUCCGAACUUGAUCAUUUAGAGGAAGUAAAAGUCGUAACAAGGUUUCCGUAGGUGAACCUGCGGAAGGAUCAUUA